This 230-nucleotide long non-coding RNA is filed under the name Elaeis guineensis (African oil palm). RNAcentral's name for it is "long non-coding RNA (EGUI_LNC037585)". Lineage: Eukaryota; Viridiplantae; Streptophyta; Magnoliopsida; Arecales; Arecaceae. The record is from RNAcentral.
GUAACUGGAUAUGACCCACAUAUCUGCUUUGAGCAAUAUAGAUGGUGUUUGAGGCUGUAACAUAUUGAAAUGUGGGACAAAGCAGUGGAAACAACUCAAAUGCUCAAGUCAGAGAUCCAAGCAUUGGAUGCUUAAAAAUGCCAGAGAGGCUGAUUUUUGAGACAAAAUAAUGCUUUGGUAGUUGAUUUGUUGAACAGCUACUGGUUGAUACGUUAGAUCCGCAUGGCCCC